Molecule: ribosomal RNA, 494 nt
Filed under: uncultured bacterium
Lineage: Bacteria
Description: bacterial SSU rRNA
Rfam family: Bacterial small subunit ribosomal RNA
Source: RNAcentral
ACUCAAAUGAAUUGACGGGGGCCCGCACAAGCAGUGGAGUAUGUGGUUUAAUUCGACGAUACGCGAAAAACCUUACCAGGGCUUGACUUCCCUUUGAUCGUUUUGGAAACAAAACUUCCCUUCGGGGCAAAGGUGACAGGUGGUGCAUGGUUGUCGUCAGCUCGUGUCGUGAGAUGUUGGGUUAAGUCCCGCAACGAGCGCAACCCCUAUGAUUUGUUGCUACUUUCGAGAGCACUCUAAUCGAACUGCCGUUGGCAAAACGGAGGAAGGUGGGGAUGACGUCAAAUCAUCAUGCCCCUUACGCCCUGGGCUACACACGUACUACAAUGGCCGUUAACAACGGGUUACAAUAGCGCGAGCUGGAGUUAAGCCUUAAAAACGGUCUCAGUUCAGAUUGCAGGCUGAAACUCGCCUGCAUGAAGGUGAAAUUGCUAGUAAUCGCGGAUCAGAAUGCCGCGGUGAAUACGUUCCCGGGCCUUGUACACACCGCCCGU